AUACGGAGGAUGCAAGCGUUAUCCGGAUUUAUUGGGUUUAAAGGGUGCGUAGGCGGUUUGCUAAGCGGGAGGUGAAAUGCCGGCGCUCAACGUCGGAAGUGCCUCCCGAACUGGUGGACUUGAAUGACUCUGCCGUGGGAGGAAUGUGUAGUGUAGCGGUGAAAUGCUUAGAGAUUACACAGAACACCGAUUGCGAAGGCAUCUCACGAAGGGUCGAUUGACGCUGAGGCACGAAAGCGUGGGGAUCAAACAGGAUUAGAUACCCUGGUAGUCCACGCAGUAAACGAUGAUGGCUAACCGCUGGGCUUAUCAGUUCAGUGGCCAAGCGAAAGCGAUAAGCCAUCCACCUGGGGAGUACGACCGCAAGGUUGAAACUCAAAUGAAUUGACGGGG
Molecule: ribosomal RNA, 393 nt
Filed under: uncultured bacterium
Lineage: Bacteria
Description: partial 16S ribosomal RNA
Rfam family: Bacterial small subunit ribosomal RNA
Source: RNAcentral